GACGGACGCUGGCGGCGUGCUUAACACAUGCAAGUCGAACGGAAAGGCCCCAGCUUGCUGGGGUACUCGAGUGGCGAACGGGUGAGUAACACGUGGGUGAUCUGCCCUGCACUCUGGGAUAAGCCUGGGAAACUGGGUCUAAUACCGGAUAGGACCGUGCUUUAGUGUGUGCGGUGGAAAGUUUUUCGGUGCAGGAUGAGCCCGCGGCCUAUCAGCUUGUUGGUGGGGUAAUGGCCUACCAAGGCGGCGACGGGUAGCCGGCCUGAGAGGGUGUACGGCCACACUGGGACUGAGACACGGCCCAGACUCCUACGGGAGGCAGCAGUGGGGAAUAUUGCACAAUGGGCGCAAGCCUGAUGCAGCGACGCCGCGUGGGGGAUGACGGCCUUCGGGUUGUAAACCCCUUUCGGCAGGGACGAAGCUUUUGUGACGGUACCUGCAUAAGAAGCACCGGCUAACUACGUG
RNAcentral lists this ribosomal RNA (465 nucleotides) under uncultured bacterium. Its description in RNAcentral is "partial 16S ribosomal RNA". It matches the Rfam family "Bacterial small subunit ribosomal RNA", at positions 28 to 507 of the family's 1533-position model. The record is from RNAcentral.